This 253-nucleotide ribosomal RNA is filed under the name uncultured bacterium. Its description in RNAcentral is "partial 16S ribosomal RNA". It matches the Rfam family "Bacterial small subunit ribosomal RNA", at positions 524 to 776 of the family's 1533-position model. The record is from RNAcentral.
UACGUAGGGUGCAAGCGUUAUCCGGAAUUAUUGGGCGUAAAGGGCGCGUAGGCGGCGAUUCAAGUGACGGGUGAAAUCCCUCGGCUUAACCGAGGAACUGCCUGUCAGACUGGAUUGCUUGAGGCCGGGAGAGGUGAGUGGAAUUCCCAGUGUAGCGGUGAAAUGCGUAGAUAUUGGGAGGAACACCAGUGGCGAAGGCGGCUCACUGGACCGGUACUGACGCUGAGGCGCGAAAGCGUGGGGAGCAAACAGG